This 200-nucleotide long non-coding RNA is filed under the name Salvia miltiorrhiza (redroot sage). Its description in RNAcentral is "long non-coding RNA (SMIL_LNC001221)". The record is from RNAcentral. Lineage: Eukaryota; Viridiplantae; Streptophyta; Magnoliopsida; Lamiales; Lamiaceae.
AGAGACGAUCGACAUGCGAUGCAGUUGUAUCUAUAAAAUCCGAAAACCCAGCUCUUCCUUCCGUUUGCAUUACAUGAUUAUUCAAUUUCCCCUCAAAACCCUAAUUAAUCCUCCCAAGCGCCUUGGGAUUUAUAUAUAUAUCACGUAGAAGAAACGCAAGAAAGGGAUAAUCCUAAUUAAUAUCCCUGGAUAAGCUGAGG